GACGAACGCUGGCGGCGUGCUUAACACAUGCAAGUCGAACGAUGAAGCUGGAGCUUGCUCCAGUGGAUUAGUGGCGAACGGGUGAGUAACACGUGAGCAAUCUGCCCUUGACUCUGGGAUAACUGCGGGAAACUGUAGCUAAUACCGGAUACGACACCUUGGGGCAUCCCGGGGUGUGGAAAGAAUUUCGGUCAAGGAUGAGCUCGCGGCCUAUCAGCUUGUUGGUGAGGUAAAGGCGCACCAAGGCGACGACGGGUAGCCGGCCUGCGAGGGUGACCGGCCACACUGGAAAUGGGAGACGGUCCAGACUCCUACGGGAGGAAGCAGUGGGGAAUAUUGCACAAUGGGCGUAAGCCUGAUGCAGCAACGCCGCGUGAGGGAUGACGGCCUUCGGGUUGUAAACCUCUUUUAGCAGGGAAGAAGCGAAAGUGACGGUACCUGCAGAAAAAGCACCGGCUAACUACGUGCCAGCAGCCGCCGUAA
RNAcentral lists this ribosomal RNA (483 nucleotides) under uncultured bacterium. RNAcentral describes it as "partial 16S ribosomal RNA". It matches the Rfam family "Bacterial small subunit ribosomal RNA", at positions 28 to 523 of the family's 1533-position model. The record is from RNAcentral.